Long non-coding RNA from Bradysia coprophila, 95 nucleotides. NCBI's taxonomy places the organism in Eukaryota, Metazoa, Arthropoda, Insecta, Diptera, Sciaridae. The record is from RefSeq and is a predicted model, not a curated record.
AUACACGAAAAGAAACCUCCAGCACAAUGGGCCCAAACAGAGGCCCCCGUGCGUGUUCUACCACGGUAGAACGGCUACUUAAAAAAAAAAAAAAA